UAAUACUUUCGGCGGCCAUUUUUGUGUAAUAUGUGAAUACGUUCGCCAUCAUCGUGUAUUACGUGAAUGAAGCCUAACCAUAAUUUCUGUAAAAAUGGUUGGCAGGUGUGCUGUUCCUGGUUGUAAAUCAACAUAUUUCAAAGGAAAUCAAAAAGAAAACGAGGUUACCCUGUUUGCAUUUCCUAAAACUUCAUUAUCAAAAUGACGAGAACUAAUUCCAUGGAUUGAAAUUUUGAACGUGUUCCAUCCUUACAAACGGUGGACUCUUAAUGCUGGAGCAAUGCCCUGGAAACCAACAUUUUCUGUUAAAUGAUACAUCUAGUCAACAAGUAAUGCAAAAUGUUGAUGUUUUCAAAUGGAGAAAUAACUGGAAGCUCCCUGGAUCAUGUGUGAGCUAAUGCAGUUGAUGGUCAAUUUGUGGCAUGUACUCUAUGAAGCUGAGCCAAACUAUGCUACGUUUAACAAAUACGCCC
Molecule: long non-coding RNA, 473 nt
Organism: Daphnia pulex (common water flea)
Lineage: Eukaryota; Metazoa; Arthropoda; Branchiopoda; Diplostraca; Daphniidae
Exons: 4
Source: RefSeq, a predicted model, not a curated record